UACGUAGGGUGCAAGCGUUAUCCGGAAUUAUUGGGCGUAAAGAGCUCGUAGGCGGUUUGUCGCGUCUGCUGUGAAAACUGGAGGCUCAACCUCCAGCCUGCAGUGGGUACGGGCAAACUAGAGUGCGGUAGGGGAGAUUGGAAUCCUGGUGUAGCGGUGGAAUGCGCAGAUAUCAGGAGGAACACCUAUAGCGAAGGCAGCUCGCUGGGACGACACUGACGCUGAGACGCGAAAGCGUGGGGAGCGAACAGG
This 252-nucleotide ribosomal RNA is filed under the name uncultured bacterium. Its description in RNAcentral is "partial 16S ribosomal RNA". It matches the Rfam family "Bacterial small subunit ribosomal RNA", at positions 524 to 776 of the family's 1533-position model. The record is from RNAcentral.